RNAcentral lists this non-coding RNA (22 nucleotides) under Arabidopsis thaliana (thale cress). The record is from RNAcentral. Lineage: Eukaryota; Viridiplantae; Streptophyta; Magnoliopsida; Brassicales; Brassicaceae.
CACACGAUACUGUAUAUGUAUA